GGAGGCGUCGCCAAGUGCUAAGGCAUCGGUUUUGGUACCGACAUUCCCAGGUUCGACACCUGGCGCCCCAGCCA
This 74-nucleotide transfer RNA is filed under the name Mesorhizobium plurifarium. It matches the Rfam family "tRNA". From Rfam's summary of the family: Transfer RNA (tRNA) molecules are approximately 80 nucleotides in length. Lineage: Bacteria; Pseudomonadati; Pseudomonadota; Alphaproteobacteria; Hyphomicrobiales; Phyllobacteriaceae. The record is from RNAcentral.